Molecule: long non-coding RNA, 1322 nt
Organism: Lycium barbarum (goji berry)
Lineage: Eukaryota; Viridiplantae; Streptophyta; Magnoliopsida; Solanales; Solanaceae
Exons: 3
Source: RefSeq, a predicted model, not a curated record
CAUAUAUUCAAGAAAAGAGAAGUGGACUUCACGGUCCAAAGGAUUUGGAAUUGUUUUGCCGUAAUAAUUUAAUUAAUGACAUUGUCUUUGGUGAAUUGAACAACAUAAGCUAGGAGCAGCAACAGCAACGUUUUGCCUUGUGUUUUAUGUAGUUGCGUGUUUCUUGAAUGUUCGGGGCAGAAUAAGUGGGUUUUUGCUUGUAUAAGGUUGAAGUGAUAGUUGAGGAAAGUUCGUUAUUGAGUGCGUAUUGACUACAAGAGGUAUGUUAAGGCUAUUCCUUCUUUCAUUUUGGCAUGAUCUAUGAUAAGUACGAACGUGACGAUACUCAUAAUGAACCUACUCCUAGAUGUAGGAGCUCAUGUCCCUAUGUUUAUAUUGGUGUUGUUCAUAUCCUUAGUUCCUUGACUUCUUAAGUCCCGAAGGGGCAUCCAUAAGUUGUACGUUUUCAUAAUGAUGUCUAAAUCCUGAAGGGGACAUUCAUAAGGCUUCUUUAUUCAUAUACAUUUCAUAUUUGAUUUUUAAGUCUCGAAGGAGACAAAUGAAAAGGAGAAGAAGUUACCAUUUUGAACUAAAAGUUGCUCUGAAGGGAGUCUUUUGAUGUUUUACAAAGAUUAUCAUGCAUUUGCACACUUAUAUAUAUGUACGACAUGAUUUUAUGGGAAAGGGGGAAAGGAUUAUAGCGUUAUGUACGCAAACCACUGAUCAGUUGGUCUAUGAUGAUUAUGAUCCCUGAAGGGUCUGCCCGACGGGGCCAUAAUUCUAUUAUGCCCAAAGCAGCUGCGAGCAGGGAGAAGGUAUGCAUUAUAUAUAUACAUAUGAUAUUUUAGAAGUUCAUAUGCACAUGCAUGAUUCUUAGUGUUGGUUACAGGUACAGAUUGAGUCUGUUACUUUUUAUCAUUUCGAGUUGAGAUAUAUUGUUUCAGUUCUGCCUUACAUUAUUCGUACUGACGUCCCUUUGCCUGGGGGCGUUGUGUUUCAUGCCACGUAGGUAUAUACAGAUGAGUAGAGGACACUUGCUAUAGAAUGUUCCUAGGCAAUCAGCUGGAUUGGUGAGCUCUAUUUCUGUUCAGAGUGUUGCCGAGUCAGAGUACUUAUGUAUGUCCUUAAGUCAGAUGCAUUACGGUUAUGUUGGGGCCCUGUCCCAACUUAUGUUAUGGUACCUUGUUACAUAUUAGAGACUUUUACAGACAGUAUCCUGUGGAUAGUGCGUCGAGGUAUCGACACUUGUGUAAAGCGGUCAUCUAGGUCGAUGUGUUCAUAUGCAUCGAUUUAAAGAUUUUAUUGUGACUAAAGGUUUUCUUUGACUUAACUAUAAGGGAGAA